UGUAGUGGCGUGUUCUAGACCCGAAGCGGAGUGAUCUACCCAUGGCCAGGUUGAAGCGACGGUAAGACGUCGUGGAGGACCGAACCCACUUAGGUUGAAAACUGAGGGGAUGAGUUGUGGGUAGGGGUGAAAGGCCAAUCAAACUCCGUGAUAGCUGGUUCUCCCCGAAAUGCAUUUAGGUGCAGCGUCACGUGUUUCUCACCGGAGGUAGAGCUACUGGAUGGUCUAGGGGGCCUACAAGCUUACCGAAAUCAGCCAAACUCCGAAUGCCGGUGAGUGAGAGCGUGGCAGUGAGACUGCGGGCGAUAAGGUUCGUAGUCGAGAGGGAAACAGCCCAGAUCGCCAGCUAAGGUCCCUAAGCGUGUACUAAGUGGAAAAGGAUGUGGGGUCGCGAAGACAACCAGGAGGUUGGCUUAGAAGCAGCCACCCUUGAAAGAGUGCGUAAUAGCUCACUGGUCAAGUGAUCCUGCGCCGACAAUGUAGCGGGGCUCAAGUACACCACCGAAGCUGCGGCACUCACACAACAGCCCCAUGCAGGUCUGCGGAUCUGUGUGCAGGUGUGUGGGUGGGUAGGGGAGCGUCGUGCAGCCAUGGAAGCAUCGGAGUGAUCCAGGUGUGGAGGCUGCGCGAGUGAGAAUGCAGGCAUGAGUAGCGAAAGACGAGUGAGAAACUCGUCCGCCGAAUGACCAAGGGUUCCUGGGCCAGGUUAAUCCGCCCAGGGUGAGUCGGGACCUAAGACGAGGCCGACAGGCGUAGCCGAUGGACAACGGGUUGAUAUUCCCGUACCCGUGUAACCGCGCCCAUGGUGAAUCAGUGAUACUAACCACCCUGAAUCUCGCUUACUUCACGCCUUCGGGUGUGCGGGGGCGGGUGGAUGCGUGGGACCUGAUCUGGUAGUAGCCAAGCGAUGGGGUGACGCAGGAAGGUAGCUGGGCCAGUCAGUGGUUGUACUGGUGUAAGCCUGUAGGGCGAACGGUAGGCAAAUCCGCCGUUCACACAGCCUGAGAGGUGAUGCGUAGCCGAUUGAGGCGAAUUCAGUGAUCCUAUGCUGCCGAGAAAAGCCUCUAGUGAGUUGUUACACGGCCCGUACCCCAAACCGACACAGGUGGUCAGGUAGAGAAUACUAAGGCGAUCGAGAUAACUAUGGUUAAGGAACUCGGCAAAAUGCCCCCGUAACUUCGGGAGAAGGGGGGCCCCUGCCGGUGAUCACUCUUGCAGUGUGAGCUGGUGUGGGCCGCAGAGACCAGUGAGAAGCGACUGUUUACUAAAAACACAGGUCCGUGCGAAGUCGUAAGACGAUGUAUACGGACUGACGCCUGCCCGGUGCUGGAAGGUUAAGAGGACCGGUUAGCCAGUGAUGGCGAAGCUGAGAAUUUAAGCCCCAGUAAACGGCGGUGGUAACUAUAACCAUCCUAAGGUAGCGAAAUUCCUUGUCGGGUAAGUUCCGACCUGCACGAAUGGCGUAACGACUUCUCAGCUGUCUCAACCAUAGACUCGGCGAAAUUGCAUUACGAGUAAAGAUGCUCGUUACGCGCGGCAGGACGAAAAGACCCCGGGACCUUCACUACAGCUUGGUAUUGGUGUUCGGUUCGGUUUGUGUAGGAUAGGUGGGAGACUGUGAAGCGGUGACGCCAGUUACUGUGGAGUCGUUGUUGAAAUACCACUCUGAUCGUAUUGGAUACCUCAACCUCGGACCAUGAUCUGGUUCAGGGACAGUGCCUGGUGGGUAGUUUAACUGGGGCGGUUGCCUCCUAAAAUGUAACGGAGGCGCCCAAAGGUUCCCUCAGCCUGGUUGGCAAUCAGGUGUCGAGUGCAAGUGCACAAGGGAGCUUGACUGUGAGACUGACAAGUCGAGCAGGGACGAAAGUCGGGACUAGUGAUCCGGCACCGGCAAGUGGAAGCGGUGUCGCUCAACGGAUAAAAGGUACCCCGGGGAUAACAGGCUGAUCUUCCCCAAGAGUCCAUAUCGACGGGAUGGUUUGGCACCUCGAUGUCGGCUCGUCGCAUCCUGGGGCUGGAGUAGGUCCCAAGGGUUGGGCUGUUCGCCCAUUAAAGCGGCACGCGAGCUGGGUUUAGAACGUCGUGAGACAGUUCGGUCUCUAUCCGCCGCGCGCGUAAGAAACUUGAGGAAGGCUGUCCCUAGUACGAGAGGACCGGGACGGACGAACCUCUGGUGUGCCAGUUGUUCCACCAGGAGCACCGCUGGUUGGCUACGUUCGGAAGGGAUAACCGCUGAAAGCAUCUAAGCGGGAAGCCUGUUCCAAGAUGAGGUUUCU
This 2276-nucleotide ribosomal RNA is filed under the name Rhodococcoides fascians 05-339-1. RNAcentral describes it as "bacterial LSU rRNA". It matches the Rfam family "Bacterial large subunit ribosomal RNA", at positions 695 to 2814 of the family's 2925-position model. Lineage: Bacteria; Bacillati; Actinomycetota; Actinomycetes; Mycobacteriales; Nocardiaceae. The record is from RNAcentral.